AUGUUAAAUUUUCGUGAUACUUUGGAGUCUUGUGCGCUUACUGAUCGUGGUUUCUCAGGUCAUCCCUUUACAUACGAUAAUAGAAGAAGUGGACGUGCAAAUGUCCAGGUCCGACUUGAUAGAGUUGUUGCCUCGGAUGAGUGGAGGGACAUGUUCGGCCGCGCAUCUGUGACACACCUUGUCUCGCCAGCGUCGGACCACUGUCCUCUCCUUCUCAGGUGCGAUCUGGAUGAGGAGCAGAGACCAAAAAGCAGUCGGAGAUAUGAGCUAAUGUGGGAAAGAUCUCCGGCGUUGGAAGCCAUAAUUGCCAACUCCUGGACAAGCAAAGGUACGAAACGGAACCUAGGCGAUGUUCGGGAGGCCCUCGCAUCAGUAAUGAAUGACUUGCAUGUUUGGAGUAAUAAAACAUUCGGCAAUGUUACGAGAGAACUGGAGAAAUCACGGUCACGACUGGAGGAGCUCACUCAUAUGAACGCCGACCGGCGGGAGAUAAGAGCAGAAAUGGAUAAAAUGAAUGAAUUACUAUAUAGAGAGAUCAAGAAUUCAGUGGCUAAAGGAGGGCGACCGGAAUACUCAAAUGUUUCAUCGUAA
This 591-nucleotide ribosomal RNA is filed under the name Triticum aestivum (bread wheat). RNAcentral's name for it is "partial small subunit ribosomal RNA". The record is from RNAcentral. Lineage: Eukaryota; Viridiplantae; Streptophyta; Magnoliopsida; Poales; Poaceae.